Long non-coding RNA from Oncorhynchus tshawytscha (Chinook salmon), 576 nucleotides. NCBI's taxonomy places the organism in Eukaryota, Metazoa, Chordata, Actinopteri, Salmoniformes, Salmonidae. The record is from Ensembl.
CAUGCUGUCACAUGCUCAGAAUACAACAGGAUGACAUCUUCAUCCCUGAAUGUUUUCAUCCUGGAGGCAGAGGAGGAAAGAACAGCAUGCCAAACUGACCCCUUGGUGCCAGUGUUUAUGUGCUGCGGUGGAGAAGAGGUCCACCACUAAAGAGCUCAGGGCCCGGCUAGACUGCGCUCACGACCAUCAGAAGUCCUUCAUAAGGAUUAGUGACACGUCCAAUCGCCAUCCAGACAGACUGACAGGAACCUCUGACUGGAUGUAAUACGAGAACGAACUCUGAUCUGGGGCAAUGAUCGGCUCAAACAUGAAUGGCUUCAUCCGUAGAGCAGCCACCCAUCUCCACCUUCUGCCCUCCAGGUGUUGUUGUGCUGGUCUGUUCUGUCUGGAUUGUGUGGACUAGCUCUCUGAGCUCCACCAUGUAUCUCUUCAGCUCUGUGAACGUAUCCCUCUCAGUGAUGGAGGAGCAGUGCAGUUGUGGGACCAGGGUGUGUUCAGUGCUGGAGGGGUGACUAUCCUCAUCUGCAGGACAGUUUGAAGAGGUGUGAUCAGACAGGAUGGGGGUGGGGUCACAGA